This 658-nucleotide ribosomal RNA is filed under the name Pseudomonas aeruginosa. RNAcentral's name for it is "bacterial SSU rRNA". It matches the Rfam family "Bacterial small subunit ribosomal RNA", at positions 113 to 767 of the family's 1533-position model. RNAcentral also lists the same sequence under 1 other name. Lineage: Bacteria; Pseudomonadati; Pseudomonadota; Gammaproteobacteria; Pseudomonadales; Pseudomonadaceae. The record is from RNAcentral.
AUGCCUAGGAAUCUGCCUGGUAGUGGGGGACAACGUUUCGAAAGGAACGCUAAUACCGCAUACGUCCUACGGGAGAAAGCAGGGGACCUUCGGGCCUUGCGCUAUCAGAUGAGCCUAGGUCGGAUUAGCUAGUUGGUGGGGUAAUGGCUCACCAAGGCGACGAUCCGUAACUGGUCUGAGAGGAUGAUCAGUCACACUGGAACUGAGACACGGUCCAGACUCCUACGGGAGGCAGCAGUGGGGAAUAUUGGACAAUGGGCGAAAGCCUGAUCCAGCCAUGCCGCGUGUGUGAAGAAGGUCUUCGGAUUGUAAAGCACUUUAAGUUGGGAGGAAGGGCAGUAAGUUAAUACCUUGCUGUUUUGACGUUACCGACAGAAUAAGCACCGGCUAACUCUGUGCCAGCAGCCGCGGUAAUACAGAGGGUGCAAGCGUUAAUCGGAAUUACUGGGCGUAAAGCGCGCGUAGGUGGUUUGUUAAGUUGGAUGUGAAAGCCCCGGGCUCAACCUGGGAACUGCAUCCAAAACUGGCAAGCUAGAGUACGGUAGAGGGUGGUGGAAUUUCCUGUGUAGCGGUGAAAUGCGUAGAUAUAGGAAGGAACACCAGUGGCGAAGGCGACCACCUGGACUGAUACUGACACUGAGGUGCGAAAGCGUGGGGA